UGGUUUGGGCGGCAUUUCUAGUUCACUGAUACUCCUUUCCAACAUCUCUAUGACCCUGCUCAUCGAAGGACGAGUUUCAGGUGUCAUUUGUAUGCACCACAGUCCAACUAUGGUCAUCUUUCUUGCAAUCUCUUCGGUUCCAUAUGCCGUUUCACAACAUUGCAUCUCACUCACCAGACUGUCAUAAACCCAAUGUGGGAAAAAUGUUUCACUGAAAUUAUCUGCAAUUCCUUUUAUGUUUUUUCUUACUUUGACUAUUUCCAAAAGCAGCAUCCCGUAGCUAUAGACAUCUGAUUUGGUUGACACAACUCCGAAUCCUCUGGAGAAUACUUCUGGAGCAAUAAAACCAAUGGUUCCUCUCGCUUCCGCCAUCGAAAGGAUGCUCUCGUUGAGGUGGCAUAGCUUGGCUAAUCCAAAAUCUGCAAUUUUUGGACAAAACUCAUGAUCAAGAAGGAUGUUGCGAGGCUUGAUAUCGAAAUGGAUGAUGCGGGUGUUGCAGCCCUGGUGCAGAUACUCCAGUCCUCGUGCGAUGCCGAUCACAAUUUUUAGCAGCAUCUCCCAUCCUGUAGCUAGAUUUGAACUUUCUGAAUGAAUGUAAUUCUUCAAAGAACCAUUAGGCAUGUACUCGUAGACAAGCGCUCGCUUUGGUCCCUCUAAACAAAAACCGAGUAGAGUGACAAUGUUAACAUGAGAUGUCCGACUGAUGCUCAUAACUUCAUUUAGGAAAUCCUCUCCAUUGCCUUUUGAUACUGUCAAGAUCUUCACUGCAACCAUUCUGCCAUUUUGUAGUCUUCCCUUGAAUACUACACCAUAGCCACCUUCUCCUAAAUUAUCUUCAAAUGAUUUAGUUAUUUUCUUCAACUCUGAGUACUUGUACCUUUUGAGAGCAAGAGAUUCACAUUUUUUCAACAUUUCUUCUUCAUUUUUCGUAUUGCCAGAGUAAACUCCGCAGAUUGCUGAUCUGAACUUUUGCCUCUGACGGUACAUCAGCCAAGCAAGAAAGGCGAAAACCAAGCCAGCCGCAGCAGA
RNAcentral lists this small RNA (1029 nucleotides) under Oryza sativa Japonica Group (Japanese rice). RNAcentral describes it as "sRNA Os01g0137232". The record is from RNAcentral. Lineage: Eukaryota; Viridiplantae; Streptophyta; Magnoliopsida; Poales; Poaceae.